UUUAAUAUGACUUGUAUCAAAACUUUAUAGACCUGUCUGGUAAAUACUUUAUAUUAAUUUAUGGAUUACUCUACAAUAGCGUGGGCAAUAUUGAUACUGAGAUUUUACCCCACUAACAUUUUUUUCCUGCACACAAUAAAAUAAAAUAAAAUGUGAAUACAAACACAUCACGGCAUCAUGAAAUUAUAAUGCAUGUUAUUCCAGAUAAGAGAUUUUUUAAGAAAUGUCACCUAAAUUUAUACCUCAGUUUUAAUUGUCAUUUUAUGAAAAAAUUAAGAGAAAUGUCCUCUUAAUUUUUUAAAAAAUCCAUGAUUUGUCAUUUGACUUUAACACAAUCCAAUUUUCCAUCCAUUUUAAGGGUAUUUUAAAAAUAGAAAAAUCAUAAUUUUUUUUUAAAAAAAAAGGUAUAUCUUUUAAACAAUUAAAAUUGAAAAAAAAAAAAUUUCUCACCUUCUCCCAUCCCCUGUGCGCCACCGGCAGCUCCAACCAACUCCGCCCACCUUGAAGUCACUUCCCCCUUCCCUCUUCACAGCCCCUUCCUCUAUUCCCCCUUCCCUCUUCCCCUUCCUCCUUCUUUCUCUACCAUAGAACACCUACUCUCUACACACAAAUUCCCU
This 617-nucleotide long non-coding RNA is filed under the name Prunus persica (peach). RNAcentral describes it as "long non-coding RNA (PPER_LNC005178)". Lineage: Eukaryota; Viridiplantae; Streptophyta; Magnoliopsida; Rosales; Rosaceae. The record is from RNAcentral.